CCUACGGGGCGCAGCAGUAGGGAAUCUUCCACAAUGGACGAAAGUCUGAUGGAGCAACGCCGCGUGAGUGAAGAAGGGUUUCGGCUCGUAAAGCUCUGUUGGUAGGGAAGAAAGAUAGAGGUAGUAACUGGCCUUUAUUUGACGGUAAUUACUUAGAAAGUCACGGCUAACUACGUGCCAGCAGCCGCGGUAAUACGUAGGUGGCAAGCGUUGUCCGGAUUUAUUUGGCGUAAAGCGAGUGCAGGCGGUUCAAUAAAGCUGUAGUGGAAGCCUU
This 274-nucleotide ribosomal RNA is filed under the name uncultured bacterium. RNAcentral's name for it is "partial 16S ribosomal RNA". It matches the Rfam family "Bacterial small subunit ribosomal RNA", at positions 338 to 604 of the family's 1533-position model. The record is from RNAcentral.